Molecule: ribosomal RNA, 253 nt
Filed under: uncultured bacterium
Lineage: Bacteria
Description: partial 16S ribosomal RNA
Rfam family: Bacterial small subunit ribosomal RNA
Source: RNAcentral
UACAGAGGGGGCAAGCGUUAUUCGGAAUUAUUGGGCGUAAAGGGCGCGUAGGCGGCCUGGCAAGUGGAAGGUGAAAUCCCUCGGCUUAACCGAGGAACUGCCUUCCAAACUGCUUGGCUUGAGUCCGGGAGAGGUGAGUGGAAUUCCCAGUGUAGCGGUGAAAUGCGUAGAUAUUGGGAGGAACACCAGUGGCGAAGGCGGCUCACUGGUCCGGUACUGACGCUGAGGUGCGAAAGCGUGGGGAGCAAACAGG